This 3357-nucleotide long non-coding RNA is filed under the name Vigna radiata. Its description in RNAcentral is "long non-coding RNA (VRAD_LNC013663)". The record is from RNAcentral. Lineage: Eukaryota; Viridiplantae; Streptophyta; Magnoliopsida; Fabales; Fabaceae.
GUUGACUGGUUGACUUUUCUGGUUGACUAGUUGACUUUUCAGCAUAUCUUCAACCUGUAUUUCCUUUUCUUGAGUCUAAGACCUUCAUCUUCAACUUCAUUCUUUACUUUUCUCAAAUUAGCUACAAAACUAUGCAAAACAAGCAUAAAAUCGCUAAAAACAGCUUUUGACUCUCUCCAGACUCAUUUAUUGAGUUUUGCUUGAUUCUAAGCUCAUUCCGAGUAGUAAAGGGUGUAAUUUGGUCCAAAUUGACAUAUGAAAAUAAUUGUUUUCAACCUUCAUCAACACCCCAAACUUAGAAUUUUGCUUGUCCUCAAGCAAAACAAAACAAAACAACACACAAAACAAAACUUGGCUUUAUACUGUUUCAUCCAAUGUCUCAACAAUCCCAAGGUACAUGAGAAAACCACUCAAUUCAAUAUCCUCAGUGAAAUCCAAAAUAAGAUGCAUGCAUGCUUUCAAUCCAGAGGUUGCACAAUAGAUGUUAUACACUAUGAAUGAUCAAUCCACUAAGCAAAAAUGUACUCAUGAAAAUUAAGAAAUCAUACCAAGCAAGUGUUUCACUCAAUCACUCAAGUGUUUAAGGUGACACUCCCACUCUCUAUUGUUCACAAGUCACAUGAAACAAAAUUGCCAUUCAUCUCAAACAAUCAAUAUCCUUACAUGCAAAUGUCAUCAAAAGGACUUCUCCAAUGCUUGUAAUGAGGUUGGGCUAACAAGAAAAAUUGGUUUUUCUAGAAUGCAAAAUCCUUGAGUCAAGAGAACUAUCAAAAUAUUCAACAAUUAAGCACAACUCUCUCACCAAAAUUUCUCAUUCCCAACUUCUUCCGUUUUCUUUUCUUUUUCAUUAAGCUCAUCUUCAUGUUUUUCUUCUUUUCUUUUCUUUUUCUCAUGAAUUUUUCUCUUUUUACAACAAUUGAGCUCAAUGCCUUUUACUUGCUUUUUCAAUUUUCCCNCGUACAACCCCAAACUUGAACCUUUUCAUCACUUACAAAUAAGCUCAUCCCAACUCAAGGUAAAGAAUUUCAAGACAAGGGUUCACAUCCUGUUUAAGGCUGAGGUUCAAAAAGGGUAAAAUAUUUCAAGCACUUUGGGUGAAAAUUUGGCUAGAGAAGGGUUUUCAAAAAUGGCCUUGAUCAUAUGACAUUCACAUGCAAUUCANUCGAUCAUCAAGAUUAAGGCAAUAUCAUCCAUGUUUUCCUGUGAACAGUACAUGCAACAAUAAAAACUCUGGAGCUCAAAAUCUCACACACAUGCUUCCUCACACAAAAUUCAUUCAUACAUCAUGCCUAGCAUCAUGACCACAAUCAUAAAUUCAUCACCCAUCUAUUUCCUGGAUAUCAUCAUGCAUUGCAACUCAAUUCUCAUCCGCAUUAAAUAAUCAUCAAAUAGAUCCAUCCUGCAAAUUAGUUUAGCCAAACAUUUUCAGAACAAGUAAUAAAGCCAAGAAUACACACCAAACUUAAAAUUCAACCUAUUCUAGGAAUUUAAAAUGCAAAAGUGUAAGAAGAAAUCUAGGUUGCCUCCUAGUAGCGCUUGUUUAACAUCAUGAGCCUGACCCAAACCUGGUUGGCACUUGUCAGUAAGUGCACUACCUUCCACCACCCAUCAGUAGGUGUACCUUCCGAAUAUCCUUCAGUGGAUACCUAUAUCUUCUAACAUCCCCCAGUAGAUGCUAUCCCGGUAGAAUUCAUCAGUAAAUGCUAAUCUUUCUAAUCUUCAUUGGCAUCCAUCAGUAAAUGCCAUAUCACCUAACAUCCAUCAGUAGAUGUAGAAGCAUCCAUUAGUAGAUGCUAUCAUCACUGCCAUCAGAAGUAACGCAUAACCCAAAAAAAAAAAUCAAAUAAAAUCAAAUAAAAGAAAAUAAAAUAAAAAAAUCAAAUAAAAGAAAAUAAAAUAGAAAUAAAAUAAAAUAAAAUCAAAUAAAAUAAAAUAAAAUAAAAUCAAAACGAAAUGGAAGAUAAAAAAAAAUCAGAAACUAGGUUGCCUCCCAGCAAGCGCUCUUUUAACGUCAUUAGCUUGACCCGGUAAAGCCUAAACACCCAUCAGUAGGUGUUGAAAUUUUAUGUUGGUGCUCCUCCUUCCUUCAUGACACCAACAACAUCUCGGAAAUUCCCUUUGUCACCAACUGUAAGAGCUCUGUUUGCUUUGAUAGUCUUGACAACCCAUAAACUAAUUUUGAAUUUCAUUGAUGUGUCAGGUUAGGGUUUGUCACUUUUCACAUCAGGGUGUUGGUGAACCAAUUCUCCUUCCUUAUCUGCCUCCUGAUGAUCUUGUGCUCCUAGUACCAAAAAUUUUAUCCUGCAUACACUAAAGAACACUGCACUAGAGUACAGAAUUAACCCAAAAAUAAAAAUAGUAAAAGAUAAUUUUUAUUUUUAUUUUAAUUUUAAUUUUCGAUCUUUUUUAGAAAAGAUAAAGGGGAAAAUAAAUAAAUAAAAAAAAUAAAUAAAAAGAUAAAAAGAAAAAUAAAUAGAAAGAUAGAAAGGUAGAAAGAUGGAAAGAUAAGGAAAAGGAUGAGGGAAAGAAUGUGGAGAAGAAUAAGGAGAAGAAUAUGGAAAGAUAUUAUUUUAUUUUAUUUUCGUUUUUUUUUAAAUAAAAAUAAAAUAAAAUAAAAAAAUAAAACAAAAUCAAAUCAAAUCAAAUCAAAUCCAAUCAAAUAAAAUAAAAUAAAAUAAAAUCCAAUCCAAUCCAAUCAAAUCAAAUCAAAUCAAAUCAAAUAAAAUCAAAUCAAAUCAAAUCCAAUCAAAUCAAAUAAAAUUAAAUAAAAUCAAAUAAAAUCAAAUCAAAUAAAAAAAAGAUAAAAUCAAAUAAAAUCAAAUAAUACAAAUAAAAUAAAAAAGAAAGUCUAAUCGAUCAAGAAUCGCACACAUAGAAUAGUUCUACCAUGAGUCCCGGGCAACGCGCCAAAAACUUGUUGACAAAUUGGAAAGUGUACCAAAUCGUUCAAGUAAUAAUAAAAUGGUAAGUCCAAGUAUCGUUUUCCUAAGAGACUAACGACACUAAACUGUUGUGCUUUUGCUUAACCAAUCAAGACUAUAAAAAUAAUAUUUUGGGAUUUUUAUAAAGUGCAGAAAAAUAAACAUGAAUGCAAUUUGAUCAAUUGAGGUUAAACACAAAACCAUGAAUGAAUCAAUGUUGUUGGGGGUUUACAAUUUCAUCUAUUCCGCUCUCUCUUACAUACUACCCUUGAAUAUUAGAUUGAUUCAAUUGUUAUGUGACUUUCUUAGCCUUCCCUUAACCCGAUCCCUCGGCGAAAAGGGCCUAAUAUUAACUACUGGCCUUCUAUCCCUAGCCUCCCCUAGUAAUUAAUACCGCAUUAUAAACAGAAGUUAGCGCAAUUGAUCGUCCUACCCC